AGGGCACACAGUGGAUGCCUUGGCACUAGAAGGCGAUGAAGGACGCGACGAACUGCGAUAAGCUGCGGUUAGCUGUAAGUAGGCUAUGAUCCGCAGAUUUCCGAAUGGGGAAACCCACUUAUGGUUAUGCAUAAGGAUUUUUUAAGUGAAUACAUAGCUUAAAAAAGGCGAUACCCGGAGAACUGAAACAUCUAAGUACCCGGAGGAAAAUAAAGAAAAAUCGAUUCCCUAAGUAGCGGCGAGCGAAACGGGAUCUAGCCCAAACCUAAAUUUAUUUAGGGGUUGUAGGACAUCAUUUAAAGUUACAAAAUGUUUUGAUAGUUGAAAUAGUUGGAAAGCUAUACCAUAGACGGUGAUAGUCCGGUAAACGAAAUUAAAAUAUCUUUUUGAUGGAUCCUGAGUACGGCGGGACACGAGAAAUCCCGUCGGAAUCCACGGGGACCACCCCGUAAGGCUAAAUACUAACUAGUGACCGAUAGUGAACAAGUACCGUGAGGGAAAGGUGAAAAGAACCCCGGGAGGGGAGUGAAAUAGAUCCUGAAACUGUGUUGCCUACAAGUAGUCAGAGCCCGUUAAUGGGUGAUGGCGUGCUUUUUGCAGAAUGAGCCGGCGAGUUACGAUGACAUGCAAGGUUAAGGUGAGAAGCCGGAGCCGUAGGGAAACCGAGUCUGAAUAGGGCGAAUUAGUAUGUUGUUGUAGACCCGAAACCAUGUGAUCUACCCAUGAGCAGGUUGAAGUUGGGGUAAUACCUAAUGGAGGACCGAACCACCGCACGUUGAAAAGUGCUUGGAUGACUUGUGGGUAGCGGAGAAAUUCCAAUCGAACAUGGAGAUAGCUGGUUCUCUCCGAAAUAGCUUUAGGGCUAGCCUUACACAUGAGAUUACUGGAGGUAGAGCACUGAUAAUGUGAUGGCCCCAUCAAGGGGUACUGAUCAUUGACAAACUCCGAAUGCCAGAUAAUUGCUUUGUAGGAGUCAGGCUGCGGGUGCUAACGUCCGUAGCCGAGAGGGAAAGAGCCCAGACCACCAGCUAAGGUCCCUAAGUUUAUGUUAAGUGGAAAAGGUUGUUUGUUUGCUAAAACACCCAGGAGGUUGGCUUAGAAGCAGCCAUUCCUUUAAAGAGUGCGUAAUAGCUCACUGGUUGAGUGAACAUGCGCCGAAAAUGUAACGGGGCUAAACAUAACACCGAAGCUGUGGAAUAUAUUUAUAUAUUGGUAGGAGAGCGUUCUAAUCAGCGUUGAAGCUGUACCGUAAGGAGCAGUGGAGUGAUUAGAAGUGAGAAUGCCGGCGUAAGUAACGAAAGAUAGGUGAGAAUCCUAUCCACCGAACAUCUAAGGUUUCCUGGGGAAGGCUCGUCCUCUCAGGGUUAGUCAGGACCUAAGGCGAGGCAGAAAUGCGUAGUCGAUGGACAACAGGUCAAUAUUCCUGUACUAGUUAUCAUUGCGAUGGAAUGACGGAGAAGGAUAGUCAAACCCCAUUAUUGGAUUUGGGGUCAAAUAGUAAGGCUUGUAUGUUGGUAAAUCCGCAUGCUUUAAGGUUGAGCUAUGAUGAGGAGCACUUUGGUGCGAAGUUGAUGUGUUCAUGCUUCCAAGAAAAGUUUCUAAGCUUAAAUGAUAACUACCUGUACCAAAACCGACACAGGUAGAUGGGUUGAGUAUACUAAGGUGAGCGAGAGAACUCUUGUUAAGGAACUCGGCAAAAUAGCCCCGUAACUUCGGGAGAAGGGGCGCUUUUUCAAAUUAUUGGAAGAGCCGCAGUGAAAUGGCCCAAGCGACUGUUUAUCAAAAACACAGGUCUGUGCUAAACCGUAAGGUGAUGUAUACGGGCUGACGCCUGCCCGGUGCUGGAAGGUUAAAAGGAGAUGUUAGACAAUUCAUUUGUCGAAGCUUUGAAUUGAAGCCCCAGUAAACGGCGGCCGUAACUAUAACGGUCCUAAGGUAGCGAAAUUCCUUGUCGGGUAAGUUCCGACCCGCACGAAAGGCGUAACGAUUUGGGCACUGUCUCAACAAGAGACUCGGUGAAAUCAUGGUACGAGUGAAAACGCUCGUUACCCGCGACAGGACGAAAAGACCCCGUGGAGCUUUACUACAGCUUGAUAUUGGGUUUUGUUAUAUUUUGUACAGCAUAGGUGGGAGACUUUGAAACUAGGACGUCAGUUUUAGUUGAGUCAUCAUUGGGAUACCACCCUUAAUAUAAUAAAAUCCUCACCUGCUACCGUAAUCCGGUAGAGGGACAGUGUCUGGUAGGUAGUUUGACUGGGGCGGUCGCCUCCUAAAAGGUAACGGAGGCGCCCAAAGGUUCCCUCAAGAUGGUCGGAAAUCAUCUUUAGAGUGCAAAGGCAUAAGGGAGCUUGACUGCGAGAGCUACAACUCGAGCAGGUACGAAAGUAGGGCUUAGUGAUCCGGCGGUGCCAUGUGGACGGGCCGUCGCUCAACGGAUAAAAGCUACCCCGGGGAUAACAGGCUGAUCUCCCCCAAGAGUUCACAUCGACGGGGAGGUUUGGCACCUCGAUGUCGGCUCAUCGCAUCCUGGGGCUGUAGUCGGUCCCAAGGGUUGGGCUGUUCGCCCAUUAAAGCGGUACGCGAGCUGGGUUCAGAACGUCGUGAGACAGUUCGGUCUCUAUCCGUCGUGGGCGUUAGAUAUUUGCAAGGAGCUGUCCUCAGUACGAGAGGACCGGGAUGGACACACCUCUGGUGCACCAGUUGUCACGCCAGUGGCAUAGCUGGGUAGCUACGUGUGGACGGGAUAAACGCUGAAAGCAUCUAAGCGUGAAGCCCUCCUUAAGAUGAGAUAUCUAUUACGUAAGUUAAAAGACUCCUUAUAGACGAUGAGGUUGAUAGGCAGGAUGUGUAAGCAUAGUGAUAUGUUAAGCUGACCUGUACUAAUAAGUCGAAGCCUUGUUU
RNAcentral lists this ribosomal RNA (2901 nucleotides) under Rotaria magnacalcarata. Its description in RNAcentral is "bacterial LSU rRNA". It matches the Rfam family "Bacterial large subunit ribosomal RNA". Lineage: Eukaryota; Metazoa; Rotifera; Eurotatoria; Philodinida; Philodinidae. The record is from RNAcentral.